Molecule: long non-coding RNA, 359 nt
Organism: Triticum aestivum (bread wheat)
Lineage: Eukaryota; Viridiplantae; Streptophyta; Magnoliopsida; Poales; Poaceae
Exons: 2
Source: RefSeq, a predicted model, not a curated record
GUAUAGUGGAGGCACAACACAUCAUGAAGAAGGUGCACGAGCACGUCAAGACGAUGAAUGUCGUGAUCCUCAGGCUAUGGUCCAUUAUUCUAGCCCGGUCACCAAAGGAAAUUCACCUGUGCGGCGGCGGCGGGGAAGGAGCAGCACCGGCAGCCCUGACAGAGGAAGCCAUGUUGCCGUUUUGUUUGUUCCCAGCCUUGACUAUGGUUGUCCAGCGAGUCCGGCAUGUCGUCAUUUUCUUGUAAAGCAGUAUUGUAUCACACUUAUAGAGCUCGUUACACAUGUAGAUCUUGUAAAGUACUGUAUUACACAUGGUCAUAUGUAUUGGCAACGUGAUCUGGUUGCUCUUAUUUGAAGUA